RNAcentral lists this non-coding RNA (93 nucleotides) under Actinomyces urogenitalis. RNAcentral describes it as "SAM-I sequence". It matches the Rfam family "SAM riboswitch aptamer (S box leader)". Rfam says of the family: The SAM riboswitch is found upstream of a number of genes which code for proteins involved in methionine or cysteine biosynthesis in Gram-positive bacteria. Lineage: Bacteria; Bacillati; Actinomycetota; Actinomycetes; Actinomycetales; Actinomycetaceae. The record is from RNAcentral. RNAcentral also lists the same sequence under 1 other name.
UGACCAUCCAGAGCAACCGAGAGACCUGGCUCGACGACGUUGCAGCAACCCCCGCUCAUGCGGUGAGGGUGCUUCCGCCAGGACCGAUGGAGG